This 1796-nucleotide long non-coding RNA is filed under the name Homo sapiens (human). Its description in RNAcentral is "HSALNT0371887". The record is from RNAcentral. Lineage: Eukaryota; Metazoa; Chordata; Mammalia; Primates; Hominidae.
AGAGACCGGCCCACUAUGUUGCCCAGGCAGAUCUCGAACUGCUGAGCUCAAGCGAUCCUCCCGCCUCCCCUCCCGAAGUGCUAGGAUUCCAGGUGUGGCCACCGCGCCCACCACUUCCUUGCCUCCUCUCCCAAGCUUGCCCUCCUGUCUCCUGCUUUCCCUUAGACAAACUCAUAUGAUCCUGGGCCCGCGCAGAUAAUCUGGCAUAAUCUCAAAAUCCUUAAUCCCAUCUCUGGGGCCACAAUUCAACCAACUACAAGCUUGAAUUUGGGGAAUGAGCCAUGGAGGUGUUGGGGAGAGCGUGUUCCUGGCAGUGCAAGAGCCAGGAGGCAGGAGACAGCCGUCUGCAGCAGCCCCACUCCCGCCCUCCAGGGGCUGUGCCUUCUCCUACAGCUGGACGGUACUGCUGCCAUCUCGGCUCACUGCAACCUCCCUGCCUGAUUCUCCUGCCUCAGCCUGCCGAGUGCCUGCGAUUGCAGGCGCGCGCCGCCACGCCUGACUGGUUUUCCUAUUUUUUUGGUGGAGAUGGGGUUUCGCUGUGUUGGCGGGGCUGGUCUCCAGCUCCUAACCGCGAGUGAUCCGCCAGCCUCCGCCUCCCGAGGCGCCGGGAUUGCAGACGGGAGUCUCGUUCACUCAGUGCUCAAUGGUGCCCAGGCUGGAGUGCAGUGGCGUGAUCUCGGCUCGCUACAACCUCCACCUCCCACCCGCCUGCCUUGGCCCCCCCAAAGUGCUGAGAUUGCAGCCUCUGCCCGGCCGCCACCCCGUCUGGGAAGUGAGGAGCUUCUCUGCCUGGCCGCCCAUCGUCUGGGAUGUGAGGAGCCCCUCUGCCUGGCUGCCCAGUCUGGAAAGUGAGGAGCGUCUCUGCCCGGCCGCCCAUCGUCUGAGAUGUGGGGAGCACCUCUGCCCUGCCGCCCCGUCUGGGAUGCGAGGAGCGUCUCUGCCCGGCUGCCCCGUCUGAGAAGUGAGGAGCCCCUCUGCCUGCCAACCGCCCCGUCUGGGAAGUGAGGAGCGUCUCCGCCCGGCAGCCACCCCGUCCUGGAGGGAGGUGGGGGUCAGCCCCCACCAGGCCAGCCACCCCGUCAGGGAGGUGAGGGGCGCCUCUGCCCGGCCGCCCCUACUGGGAAGUGAGGAGCCCCCUCUGCCCGGCCACCACCCCGUCUGGGAGGUGUACCCAACAGCUCAUUGAGAACGGGCCAUGAUGACAAUGGCGGUUUUGUGGAAUACAAAGGGGGGAAGGUGGGGAAAAGAUUGAGAAAUCAGAUGGUUGCCGUGUCUGUGUAGAAAGAGGUAGACAUGGGAGACUUUUCAUUUUGUUCUGUACUAAGAAAAAUUCUUCUGCCUUGGGAUCCUGUUGAUCUGUGACCUUACCCCCAACCCUGUGCUCUCUGAAACAUGUGCUGUGUCCACUCAGGGUUAAAUGGAUUAAGGGCGGUGCAAGAUGUGCUUUGUUAAACAGAUGCUUGAAGGCAGCAUGCUCGUUAAGAGUCAUCACCACUCCCUAAUCUCAAGUACCCAGGGACACAAACACUGCAGAAGGCCGCAGGGUCCUCUGCCUAGGAAAACCAGAGACCUUUGUUCACUUGUUUAUCCGCUGACCUUCCCUCCACUAUUGUCCUGUGACCCUGCCAAAUCCCCCUCUGUGAGAAACACCCAAGAAUGAUCAAUAAAAAAUAAUAAUAAAUAAAUAAAUAAAUAAAAAUACAAAAAUUAGCCAGGCUGGGUGCAGUGGCUCACGCCUGUAAUCCCAGCUACUCAGGAGACUGGGGCACAAAAGUCGCUUGAACCUUGGGAGGUGG